GCGGUGUCAGGGUACAGACCCCACGCACACCGAGCCUUGCGCGGUCUGAGGGGAGCUCUGCUCGUAAACCCUUCACCACUGCCUGAGUGGCGGCGGUUGGCAGUUUAGGGAGCUGUAUCUUGUACCUUGCUGGAUAUGAGGUGAUGCGAAUUCCUUCACUCCUUUACUCAUAAAACUAAAAGGAACUGUGACACCCAAGUUCAGUCCUCCAGACACAUCCCUGAAUGUUCUCUACUACAACAGCUGGAGGAACCUUCCUGUGCUCCACAGGCAUUGCCUGUGCUUGGGAGAUUGAAGAAAGCAAGCAAGAUGCAUAAAAAAUGUCACCCGGUCCUGGCAGCAGCAGCCUGAAUGGAGGAAAAAUGCUCAGUGUAAGAUGUCUCACAAGAAGGAGGAGCUAUUCUAUUCCAUCUUGUGACCAGGAGAAGGGAGCUUUCAUCCAAUCUCUACUCCUACCAACCUUUCUUUACCCAGGCAGCAUCUUUCAGCCUGGGGACACAGACUCUGACUGGGAUUCACUGUUUAGGAGGAGAACUCUUAUCC
Long non-coding RNA from Colius striatus (speckled mousebird), 543 nucleotides. RefSeq lists it as uncharacterized. The record is from RefSeq and is a predicted model, not a curated record. NCBI's taxonomy places the organism in Eukaryota, Metazoa, Chordata, Aves, Coliiformes, Coliidae. The transcript is spliced from 4 exons.